RNAcentral lists this ribosomal RNA (497 nucleotides) under Amphiesma stolatum (buff striped keelback). Its description in RNAcentral is "partial 12S ribosomal RNA". It matches the Rfam family "Bacterial small subunit ribosomal RNA", at positions 875 to 1520 of the family's 1533-position model. The record is from RNAcentral. Lineage: Eukaryota; Metazoa; Chordata; Lepidosauria; Squamata; Natricidae.
GCCUAACAUAACACACAAUUAAAUAACCAAUUGUUCGCCAAAUAACUACGAGUGUAAACUUAAAACUUAAAAGACUUGACGGUACUUCACACCACCCUAGAGGAGCCUGUCUAAUAACCGAUACCCCACGAUUAACCCAACCCGCCCUAGCCAACCAGUCUAUAUACCGCCAUCGCCAGCUCACCUUGUGAAAGAAACACAGCGAGCUCAAAAGCAUCAACCCGCUAAUACGAUAGGUCGAGGUGUAACCAAUGGGCAGGACAAAGAUGGGCUACAUUUUCUAACAUAGAAAACACGGACAGAUUAUGAAAGUAAAAACCAAAGGCGGAUUUAGCAGUACACUGAGAACAAAAUACUCAGCCGAAACAAACGCAAUGAAGUGCGUACACACCGCCCGUCAUCCCUGCCAAACAACACAAAACUCUAUAUAACCCAAAAUAAAGCUAAAACAGGGCAAGUCGUAACAUGGUAAGCGUACUGGAAAGUGUGCUUAGAAA